RNAcentral lists this transfer RNA (91 nucleotides) under Rhodospirillaceae bacterium. RNAcentral's name for it is "tRNA-Ser". It matches the Rfam family "tRNA". From Rfam's summary of the family: Transfer RNA (tRNA) molecules are approximately 80 nucleotides in length. Their secondary structure includes four short double-helical elements and three loops (D, anti-codon, and T loops). Further hydrogen bonds mediate the characteristic L-shaped molecular structure. tRNAs have two regions of fundamental functional importance: the anti-codon, which is responsible for specific mRNA codon recognition, and the 3' end, to which the tRNAs corresponding amino acid is attached (by aminoacyl-tRNA synthetases). tRNAs cope with the degeneracy of the genetic code in two manners: having more than one tRNA (with a specific anti-codon) for a particular amino acid; and 'wobble' base-pairing, i.e. permitting non-standard base-pairing at the 3rd anti-codon position. The record is from RNAcentral. Lineage: Bacteria; Pseudomonadati; Pseudomonadota; Alphaproteobacteria; Rhodospirillales; Rhodospirillaceae. RNAcentral also lists the same sequence under 2 other names.
GGAGAGGUGGCCGAGUGGACGAAGGCGCUUGAUUGGAGUUCAAGUAGGCGGUUGUACCGUCUCGUGGGUUCGAAUCCCACCCUCUCCGCCA